RNAcentral lists this ribosomal RNA (274 nucleotides) under uncultured bacterium. RNAcentral describes it as "partial 16S ribosomal RNA". It matches the Rfam family "Bacterial small subunit ribosomal RNA", at positions 523 to 796 of the family's 1533-position model. The record is from RNAcentral.
AUACGGAGGGUGCAAGCGUUAAUCGGAAUUACUGGGCGUAAAGCGCGCGUAGGCGGCUCAGUCAGUCGGAUGUGAAAGCCCCGGGCUCAACCUGGGAAUUGCAUUCGAUACUGCUGAGCUAGAGUAUGAAAGAGGGAAGUGGAAUUCCGGGUGUAGCGGUGAAAUGCGUAGAUAUCCGGAGGAACACCAGUGGCGAAGGCGACUUCCUGGGCCAAUACUGACGCUGAGGUGCGAAAGCGUGGGGAGCAAACAGAAUUAGAAACCCCGGUAGUCC